UGACGUUAGAGGCAAACCCAUCAAAAGGUGGGGACGCAAAGCUACAGGGUCUAAGGUGCAUACCCGCACUAUGACAGCCUGGCUGCCGAA
RNAcentral lists this non-coding RNA (90 nucleotides) under Peptococcaceae bacterium CEB3. Its description in RNAcentral is "Desulfitobacterium sp. enrichment culture clone CEB3 c-di-GMP-I riboswitch aptamer". It matches the Rfam family "c-di-GMP-I riboswitch aptamer". From Rfam's summary of the family: GEMM was predicted in a large-scale screen for bacterial structured RNA regulatory elements. Genes associated with GEMM are involved in a diverse array of functions, including chemotaxis regulation, signal transduction, secretion and chitin. Lineage: Bacteria; Bacillati; Bacillota; Clostridia; Eubacteriales; Peptococcaceae. RNAcentral also lists the same sequence under 1 other name. The record is from Rfam by way of RNAcentral.